Molecule: small RNA, 75 nt
Filed under: Xanthomonas nasturtii
Lineage: Bacteria; Pseudomonadati; Pseudomonadota; Gammaproteobacteria; Lysobacterales; Lysobacteraceae
Description: sX9 sRNA
Rfam family: Xanthomonas sRNA sX9
Source: RNAcentral
ACGUACCACUCGUACACUGCGGUUCCUCAGCGCCGUCUGCACCCUGCUGACCGCCGCUCGCCACGUACGUCAGCC